AAAAAACAAACAAAAAAACAUAAGAGAUGAUGUCGUUUGGAUCUCAUCAGGUUCUAUAACCAUUCAUCUUGCCAUUCAUCUUUCUCUCUCCCUUCCAUUCUACUUGGCACAAAUCGCCACCGUAUCACCACUGAUCGAUGGUCAAAACUUCCUUGAAUCAAGAAACUCCGAACGUUAA
Vicia faba (fava bean) is the source of this 178-nucleotide non-coding RNA. Lineage: Eukaryota; Viridiplantae; Streptophyta; Magnoliopsida; Fabales; Fabaceae. The record is from the annotation of a GenBank genome assembly.